GGCCCAGUGGCGAAGGGGUAACGCGGUUGUCUGCAAAACAACUAUGCGCCGGUUCGAAUCCGACCUGGGCCUCAA
Molecule: transfer RNA, 75 nt
Filed under: Candidatus Tagabacteria bacterium CG_4_10_14_0_2_um_filter_40_13
Lineage: Bacteria; Candidatus Tagaibacteriota
Also listed under: 3 other names
Description: tRNA-Cys
Rfam family: tRNA
About the family: Transfer RNA (tRNA) molecules are approximately 80 nucleotides in length. Their secondary structure includes four short double-helical elements and three loops (D, anti-codon, and T loops). Further hydrogen bonds mediate the characteristic L-shaped molecular structure. tRNAs have two regions of fundamental functional importance: the anti-codon, which is responsible for specific mRNA codon recognition, and the 3' end, to which the tRNAs corresponding amino acid is attached (by aminoacyl-tRNA synthetases). tRNAs cope with the degeneracy of the genetic code in two manners: having more than one tRNA (with a specific anti-codon) for a particular amino acid; and 'wobble' base-pairing, i.e. permitting non-standard base-pairing at the 3rd anti-codon position.
Source: RNAcentral